AACCUAGCACACCUGCGGUGUGUACCUGCGGAGGGAUCAUUACCGAGUGUGGUCCCAUAUGAGGGGCGCCUCCCGUCCUUUGCAGGGCCUUUAGGGGCUUUUUGACUUUGCUUCGGCGGGCUUGCCCCGCCGGAACACCCUCAAGAAAAUCUUUAUGAACCGUUUGUCUGAGUUGCUUGCGAAUAAAAACAAAACUUUCAGCAACGGAUCU
RNAcentral lists this unclassified non-coding RNA (211 nucleotides) under soil metagenome. RNAcentral describes it as "partial contains 5.8S ribosomal RNA, internal transcribed spacer 2, and large subunit ribosomal RNA". The record is from RNAcentral.